This 253-nucleotide ribosomal RNA is filed under the name uncultured bacterium. RNAcentral's name for it is "partial 16S ribosomal RNA". It matches the Rfam family "Bacterial small subunit ribosomal RNA", at positions 524 to 776 of the family's 1533-position model. The record is from RNAcentral.
UACGUAGGGAGCAAGCGUUGUCCGGAAUCAUUGGGCGUAAAGCGCGCGUAGGCGGCCCGAUAAGUCCGCUGUGAAAGUCAACGGCUCAACUGUUGGAUGCCGGUGGAUACUGUAGGGCUAGAGUCCGGAAGAGGCGAGUGGAAUUCCUGGUGUAGCGGUGGAAUGCGCAGAUAUCAGGAGGAACACCAACGGCGAAGGCAGCUCGCUGGGACGGUACUGACGCUAAGGCGCGAAAGCGUGGGGAGCGAACAGG